Molecule: ribosomal RNA, 493 nt
Filed under: uncultured bacterium
Lineage: Bacteria
Description: partial 16S ribosomal RNA
Rfam family: Bacterial small subunit ribosomal RNA
Source: RNAcentral
GACGAACGCUGGCGGCGUGCCUAACACAUGCAAGUUGAGCGACGAACCAGGGCUUGCCCUGGGGCAAAGCAGCGAACGGGUGAGUAACACGUGGGUAACCUACCCCGAUAACCGGGACAACCCGAGGAAACUCGGGCUAAUACCGGAUGUGCUCACUGGACUUCGGUUCAGUGCGUGAAGGAAGCUUCGGCCUCCGUAUCGGGAGGGGCCCGCGGCCCAUUAGUUUGUUGGUGAGGUAACGGCUCACCAAGACCGCGAUGGGUAGCUGGUCUGAGAGGACGAUCAGCCACACUGGGACUGAGACACGGCCCAGACUCCUACGGGAGGCAGCAGUGGGGAAUCUUGCGCAAUGCGCGAAAGCGUGACGCAGCAACGCCGCGUGGGGGAAGAAGGCCUUCGGGUUGUAAACCUCUUUCAGGAGGGACGAAGGUUCGGCGGUGAAUAGCCGUCCGGACUGACGGUACCUCCACAAGAAGCCCCGGCUAACUACGUG